RNAcentral lists this ribosomal RNA (423 nucleotides) under uncultured bacterium. RNAcentral's name for it is "bacterial SSU rRNA". It matches the Rfam family "Bacterial small subunit ribosomal RNA", at positions 207 to 622 of the family's 1533-position model. The record is from RNAcentral.
AAGACCUUGCGCUUUUGGAGCGGCCGAUGCCUGAUUAGCUUGUUGGUGAGGUAAAAGCUCACCAAGGCUUCGAUCAGUAGCUGGUCUGAGAGGACGACCAGCCACACUGGGACUGAGACACGGCCCAGACUCCUACGGGAGGCAGCAGUGGGGAAUUUUGGACAAUGGGGGCAACCCUGAUCCAGCCAUACCGCGUGAGUGAAGAAGGCCUUCGGGUUGUAAAGCUCUUUCAGCCGGAACGAAACGGUCACGGCUAAUACCUGUGACUACUGACGGUACCGGAAGAAGAAGCACCGGCUAACUACGUGCCAGCAGCCGCGGUAAUACGUAGGGUGCGAGCGUUAAUCGGAAUUACUGGGCGUAAAGCGGGCGCAGGUGGUUUUGUAAGUCAGAUGUGAAAUCCCCGGGCUUAACCUGGGAACU